This 400-nucleotide ribosomal RNA is filed under the name uncultured bacterium. RNAcentral describes it as "bacterial SSU rRNA". It matches the Rfam family "Bacterial small subunit ribosomal RNA", at positions 356 to 773 of the family's 1533-position model. The record is from RNAcentral.
GGGGAAUAUUGGACAAUGGGGGCAACCUUGAUCCAGCGAUGCCGCGUGAGUGAUGAAGGCCUUCGGGUUGUAAAGCUCUUUUGCACGCGACGAUGAUGACGGUAGCGUGAGAAUAAGCCCCGGCUAACUCUGUGCCAGCAGCCGCGGUAAUACAGAGGGGGCUAGCGUUGUUCGGAAUGACUGGGCGUAAAGGGCGCGUAGGUGGCUCUACAAGUCAGAUGUGAAAGGCCUAGGCUUAACCUGGGGAUGGCAUUUGAGACUGUAAAGCUAGAGUCCGGGAGAGGAUAGCGGAAUUCCUAGUGUAGAGGUGAAAUUCGCAGAUAUUAGGAAGAACACCGGUGGCGAAGGCGGCUAUCUGGAACGGAACUGACACUGAGGCGCGAAAGCGUGGGGAGCAAAC